This is a long non-coding RNA of Gallus gallus (chicken), 651 nucleotides long. The record is from Ensembl. Lineage: Eukaryota; Metazoa; Chordata; Aves; Galliformes; Phasianidae.
CAGUGAUAUACAUAGCUGGGGAAGGAACCUAGAUUAAACAAAAUAUAGAGAAUCAAAAAUAUAGAGAAUCUUUUAGCUGUAAAAUUAUUUAAAUUCAAGAUUUUAUUCAUCCUCAAAAUGUUUGUGUCCUUUGACAUAUUGUCACAGUUUUAUGAUUUUUGGUUAUCAGUAUUCCACAUCACAACAUCAUGCAGUGUACUGGGAGUUAAAGAGCAAAUGCUCCGGGUACCUGUCUGGAAGAGAAGAAGAACUACGUUCCCCAAGAGGCUUUUUGAGUACUGUUAUCAUUCCUGCUCAAGGGAACAGAUAUAAGGGCGCAGGUCAUCUGACUCGGCCCUCUUCUCGUCUCGCCGUGUUCCCUGUCGGAUCGACUCGCUACUGCUGCGCCCGACUGCACGCAAGGCUUCAGUAUUAGCAUGCAGUGAUGAAGCUCUUUAAAAUGUGAAGGAGUAAUUCAGGAUGAAAAAGGUUUGCCAGGCUGGCAUGAGAAACCUGAUGUACCACAUACUACUUGGCUUCACUGUCAGAUUUUUACUGCUAUGAAAAAUGAGGUUUUUCUUCCCAUGCUUUGGAGUCUGCUGAGAAAGUAAAUCUGUAAUUAAGGCCAAGUUCCCACUUUGGGGAUAAGUAACUUAACAAAACAAGUAAAGG